Molecule: ribosomal RNA, 465 nt
Filed under: Vreelandella stevensii
Lineage: Bacteria; Pseudomonadati; Pseudomonadota; Gammaproteobacteria; Oceanospirillales; Halomonadaceae
Description: partial 16S ribosomal RNA
Rfam family: Bacterial small subunit ribosomal RNA
Source: RNAcentral
CCUACGGGUGGCUGCAGUGGGGAAUAUUGGACAAUGGGCGAAAGCCUGAUCCAGCCAUGCCGCGUGUGUGAAGAAGGCCUUCGGGUUGUAAAGCACUUUCAGUGGGGAAGAAAGCCUUGGGGCUAAUACCCUCGAGGAAGGACAUCACCCACAGAAGAAGCACCGGCUAACUCCGUGCCAGCAGCCGCGGUAAUACGGAGGGUGCGAGCGUUAAUCGGAAUUACUGGGCGUAACGCGCGCGUAGGCGGUCUGAUAAGCCGGUUGUGAAAGCCCCGGGCUCAACCUGGGAACGGCAUCCGGAACUGUCAGGCUAGAGUGCAGGAGAGGAAGGUAGAAUUCCCGGUGUAGCGGUGAAAUGCGUAGAGAUCGGGAGGAAUACCAGUGGCGAAGGCGGCCUUCUGGACUGACACUGACGCUGAGGUGCGAAAGCGUGGGUAGCAAACAGGAUUAGAUACCCGUGUAGUC